CACGUAGGGUGCGAGCGUUGUCCGGAAUUAUUGGGCGUAAAGAGCUCGUAGGCGGUGUGUCGCGUCGGCCGUGAAAACCUGCAGCUUAACUGUGGGCUUGCGGUCGAUACGGGCAUCACUGGAGUUCGGCAGGGGAGACUGGAAUUCCUGGUGUAGCGGUGAAAUGCGCAGAUAUCAGGAGGAACACCCGUAGCGAAGGCGGCACUCUGGGCCGGUACUGACGCUGAGGAGCGAAAGCGUGGGGAGCAAACAGG
Molecule: ribosomal RNA, 254 nt
Filed under: uncultured bacterium
Lineage: Bacteria
Description: partial 16S ribosomal RNA
Rfam family: Bacterial small subunit ribosomal RNA
Source: RNAcentral